This 111-nucleotide ribosomal RNA is filed under the name Chrysemys picta bellii (western painted turtle). The record is from RNAcentral. Lineage: Eukaryota; Metazoa; Chordata; Testudines; Emydidae.
CUCUACAGCUAUACUGCUAUGAGCUGUGAUCUUGUCAGAUCUCAUAAGCUAAGCAAGGCGGGCCUGGUCAGUACAUGAAGAUUGCCAAGGGAAAAAAUAAGUCUGCAGAAC